CACCCCAUCCUAAUUAAUCAUACAGUCCGGUUGUCUUGCAUAACCCGGGGAGAGUACAUAUCAGAAUGACUAAAAGUCAGUUAAAAGACUUGUGACAGUGAAUUUUUUUUUUCCCCAACAGAGACCCAUAAAGAAUACACCUCAUCUUUAGAUCAUAUGCAUCUCAUCCUGAAAUGCCUUUCUCAUAGAAUAUACUCAUUCCUUCCACAUCUGAAAUAGAUCGCUACACUUUUCUUCUUGUUCCCUUUUUUCUUUUCUCUUUUGCAACUCCUGGCAAUAACAGAAACCGUGCUCUCUCUACUUGACAUCUGGCUGUACUCCCAGAGCUCCCACUCCCGUGUGGCACAUCUUUGUGCUUGCUCUGGGUGCUGCAGCGCCCAGCAUAUUGUUGGCCAGAGGUCCUGAAAGGAGCUGGAGUGGUGAAGGAUGAAGAGACGGCAAUGCAUGGGUUUAGAGGAGCCUCCCAGCAGGACCAUCCCUGCGCUCUCUCUAACCUUGCAUAGGAAAAAUGAGGAGCAUGACUGGGUCUGUGGAAGCAGGGUAAGACGUUGCUUGCAUGUCUCCCUGGGAUCUGAGUUUGACCUCUUCUGGAGAGAGGAGUAUUUCAUGAGGAUUUCAUCACUGCCCACCUUAGCUAAAUUUCAAGUCAGCGAGCAUUAUGGAAGUAGUGGGAGGGAAAGAAGGAAGAAACCUGUCACACCAGAGAUUUGGCUUCUUGGAUGUGUUAGCUGGCACCCACAGAUCCACUGUGAAGGAGCUAAACUCAUCAUUAGCCUAAUCUAUGACAUGUGGUAUUCUGCUUAAAAUAAACUUGUUUUCAUGUCUCUACAUUUCAAUUUUCUUCUCUAUUAGGUUUCUAUGGUAUCUUAUUGUAUUCACUCUUUGUAUUACAAAGUCUUUUGUGGAGAAAAAUUAAAAGGCUGUGAAUAUUGUUAACAAAAGGGAAAACGAUGAAGUAUGAGAUCUCACGUUUAUUGAGCACUUGCCACGUGUAAGGUAUUUUAGUUUAUUUUUUUUUUGCUGAGGAGGAUUAGCCCUGAGCUAACCUCUGUUGCCAAUCUUCCUCCACUUUGUAUGUGGGAUGCCUCCACAGCAUGGCUGAUGAGUGGAGUAGGUCUGUGUCCAAGAUCCAAACCCCUGAACCCAGGCCACCGCACACGGAACUUUAACCAGCCACAGGGCUGGCCCCCACAUGUGAGGUAUUUUCCUAACUGCUUCACAGUAUUCUAGCGUUGACUAGUUACAACAGCCUUACAAGGUGGGCAGUAUUAUCAUUCCCAUUUGACAGAUGUGGAAACAGAAGUGCAGAGAAGUUAAGUAAUGUGUGCAGGGUUGUGGAGUGAGGAGAAGCAUAGGGUCUGAACUUCUUAACGAGUUCUGUUAACAUUACUAUCCUGAUUCAUUAACAUGUCCUCUCCAACAAAUUCAAAGAUGCUCCCAGAGCAGGUACUUGGGUUUAUUACUAGUACAUAGUGAGAACUGACCUUAGUCAAUAACUCAGCCACAUUCUCUAAUUGCAUUUUUUUUUUUAAACAUGAGCCACAUAUUUCUAUUCUUCCAAAGUGGUAUUUUAUUUUUUUAUUAUUUUUUUAAUUGCAGUAACAUUGGAUUAUAACAAUAUAUAGCUUUCAGAUGUACAUCAUGAAAGUGGUGUUUUAAAAUACCACUUAAAUAUAGUUAACUGUGCUUGUUGCAUUUAAAUUAUAGCACGAUUCUUUCCUGGGAAUAUAAAUUCAGAAAUACGAUGUGAGGAUGACAGAAGUCUCAGGCUAGAAUGCAAUAACAUGAUUAAGCUCUGUUUAAAUACUUGUUUCACUGUUAGGUUUGAGUGUCCAGUUUACACUACAUGCAUAUGCAAGAUGGCUGCAUCUUAGGCAAUCUUCUCUUUGUCCAUACUGGAACACAUAAACUUUUAAGGAUGUAGAUGAAAUGGUCAAGGAUUUUUUUUUUCUGCUUUCAUGUUUUAUGAAGCAAUUCAAAAUUCUUUGAUGUAGAAAAUCCAAAAUCCAUGAACUAAAUUGUUUACUUGAACCUGUGGUAAGUAUUUUUGUCAUCCCAAGAACCACUUCAAGUUUUCUUACAUAUUCUCAGAGGACACAUUCUUCAUUUCAAUCUGUGUUGUUUGAGAUAUCACUAGAAAUUUUAUCCUAAGCCAGGAAUACUUUCAAAAAUCAUUUGCAUAACACUAGCACAAUAAUUUCAGUCGUUGUGUAAAUCUGGACUUUUUACCUUCACCCACUUGACCAUAUUGCAUUUUAAAAUAAUACUUGAAAGGCUUGUUUACAGUGAUAAACAAAACCUACCACUGUGAAAUAUACCAUAGGAAUAACCACUACAUGACACUAAAUUUCUUUAUUUUUAAAGAUUUUUUUAGGUGAUUUCUAUAAACGUCUCCAACUAACAUUGAUUCAGGUUGUUUUAGGGUACUAAUACGUCUUGAUAAAUAAAUGACAAGCAGUAGGUUAUAUUAGAGUAUAUGAGGAAGCCAUUUUGGCCUGACUUUGUUUUUCCAGAAAGGCCUGAUGUGGCCUGUGGAGCAUGAAUUGUACAUCUGCUUUAAACAUUUACAAUGUCUCAAAGACAAGAAUGAUGCCCUUAAAGAUAGGGAUGUUGCUUCCCCCCAUAGCGACAUUUCCUUAAAGAUAAGCAUCUUUCCCUGGAAACUAGGGAUUGACUACUGACCUGCUGUGCUAGCAAAGCAAGCUCAUGACUGCUGUAAAAGGGACGUUCCCGUCAUAUGUGAUGUGUGCUCUUUGUUCCAAGACCGUAUAUAACUGCUCUGUACACCCUACUUCUUUGGUGCCCUUCCUUCCUUGAUGAAGGAAGCCCUCUGGGCUAUAGUCCUCAGACCUAGCUCAUAAUAAAUUCACCCCAAAUUUUGAUUUAUAGCUUGAUUAUGGAUUAUUUGCAUCAACAGUCUUCUAACAGUUCUUUGUAGCUAUAGUAAAGUAGUUAAAGUAAUUGAUAAAGCCUAACCACAAUUAGAAACACUAUAUAAGGAUGCACUAUAAAACCCCUUCAACUAUGACUUUCAUGCUACUUGAAUGUUAAGUACAACAUGACCUGCCCAUCCAUUAGGGUUGAAGCAGAACCCUUCAUGCAAAACCAGAGUGUGAUGGAUAAGGAGUCCCCUGAAGCCAAAACCGCUUCUACCUUUUCUUUCUGUAGUUGGGCACAAAUUCAAGGGCAAACAGCAAGAAAUAAGAAAGAAGUUGGAGGACAGAGAGAGAGACAGACAGACAGAGAGAGACAGAGAGAGAAUGAACUUGUACAUAUUCAUUGACUCAGAGGUACCCCAGGCUCUGCUGCCCUCCUUCCUUCUUCCUCCAUGUUCCUUCCAGGGAGCAGCAGUUGGAACUCUGCUCCCUCCUGUAUACUCCCAGGUUUCCUGUUUAGCUGGUUGACAUCUUGAUUCUUUUUCUUUUCAAGGCAGGUCUGCCUUGAUGUCAGUAUAAAAAAUAUUGUACAUUAAAGUAUGACAGACAUUUACGGUACACAAAUCUUAGGUCUACAACUCAAUGAAUUUUACAUAUAUAUCACCUGAAUAGCCGCCACUCAGAUGAAGAUGUCACUUUCCGACAUUGCUUCCUGGUCAAUACCCCCAGGUAACUAUUAUCCUGGCAUCUAUCACUACGGUUUAGUUUUGCCUGCUUGUGAAUGCUGUCAUAUUUCUUUGUAAAUUUGGUUGCAAAUAUUAUACUACACAGUCUGUUGUGUCUGAAUUCUUUCAUUUGUGCUUCUUUGUGAGAUUUAUCCUUGUUGUUGCCUGCUGUUUAUUCUCAUUUUCGCAUAGUAUUUCAUUGCACAAUUUUACCACAAUCUAUCCUUUCUUCUUUUGAUGGGCAUUUAGGUUGUUUCCAGUUUCUGGCUAUUACCGAAAAAGCGCCUAUGAACAUUCUUGUACUUGUCUUUUGAUAGAUAUAAACACUCAUUUCUUUUGGAUAUAUACCCAGGAAUGAAACUGCUGGGUUGUAAGGUAUGCGUAUGUUUAGCUCUAGUGAGUUCUCCAAAUAUUUUUGCAAAGUGGUUGUGCCAUUUUACAUUCUCACCAUCAGUUUUGAGAGUUCUAGUUUCUCCACAUUUUUGUUAACAUUCGGUUUUGUCAGUCAUUAAGCUUUUCCAGUCCUUGUAUAGAGUGGUAUCGUUCUAGUUUUAAUUUGCAUUUCUCUGGUGAAUAAUAAGGGAGAGCACAUCUGUUUGGGAAUGUUUGUGAAAGGGGAUUGGGGCAUGAUGCAGCAUAUACCAUCUUUAAGAUCCUCAGAAAGAGUCUGUCUGUGAUUUCCUGGAGGCGAGCUUUCCGGUGUGGCCACAUUUUCAGAGGGAUUUGGAAUAGACUAACAUGCAAACCUAAAUAGUAAAUAGGUGGCUUUCAUGAUGCGAACAGAGCUAGGGUUUUGGUGGUACGUUGUCCCCUUAAGAUUUUCUGGUAUAAGGGAUAUAAGCUUAGCCGAAACCAAAGAGAAUUUUAAGUAUUAGUUCCUUGGAUUCAAAUAGGAUAAUUUUAUUAUAAUUAUGCUUUAUUACACAGACUGUUCCAGGGUACAAUCCAUAAUACUGCCCUAGUAAGAAAUAUCACAUCAGGCCACAUAUAUGCUAUUUAGUAAGGUCCACUGAAUCUUGAUUCAAAAAUGAGAAUAACAUUUUUAAUUUUAUGAGAAAAUGCUCUUUGGCAUGUAAAACUGAGUUAAACUGUUGGUGAAUGGCUUACCCAAAGGUGGCACCAAUAUCUGCAUAAACUUUUUGGAUUCUUAGCCUAGGGUCCAAGUUACUGCUAGGAGGUAGUGACGCAGCAUUUAAAAUUCUUAAUGAGACUUUGAUACCUAUCCACGUUCUUUUUGUGCCAAAGAAAGCAUAGUAAGUUUUGUUCUCAUUCUGUUCCACCUUAAACUCACUCUAUUCUCUCAAAGAAGCAGGACAGAGGACUUGUGUGCGUGCCAGCUUUGGAAACGAUGGCACUAGUUUUGCAAUCUUGAAUGAGUGGCUUAACUUUCAAAGCCUGAGUUUCCUCACUUGUGCAAUAAUAACUACCCCGUGUUGUUGUGAGGAUUAAAUGAGCUAAUGUUUAAAAAUAACAUAGCAUAACUUUUUUGCAUGAAAUAAUCAGAUUGGAGGUGGAUGUAUUGAAGUUGUCUGACAUGAGAAAAUUAGUUGUCAUUUCUGUCAGAGGUGGAUUUAAAAUGACGUUUAAGCAGCGACCCCUCACAAACAUGCUCCAAAUAAGAUAUUUUAGCUACAGUUGGCUGCGAUCACUUUCUUUUCUCAUUUUGAUUUCCUCUUGAUCACAUAUGCCAUUGCAUCAACUGGCAUUGAAGGGCUGCAGGCAUUUUUGGGUUUCAGGUGUGGGAGAGUUGAGUUGGAAAUAUGUUUAGCUUGGGUUUAUGGGGCGUAUUUGACUCACACUUCUACAUACUUCUACAGCUGAGUUACUGCUGGUGGUCUCGGUGUUGGAAUGGCGUCUAGAAAAACUCCAGCUGCCCAGUGUGAUAUGUGCAGGUUUAAAGCCAUAGGUGUGGUCAAGCUGCUGAAGAUGCGGACGGCAUCCAGCAUCAGAAGAAGUAAAUCUCCCACGUGAAAGGUACCCUUCCUGCUCCAGGACACCGAGGCACCCUAUCAACAGUGAUAAGGAAUUCAGGGCCAAAAAAUGAUAUAUCAACAAACCUUGUUACUCUUAUUAAUUUACUACCUCAAGCCUAAACUCUGCUUGUAUUCCUCAGUAAUUACAUACCCCAAACCUAAGUUUCUUUGUUCAAAUCGUCACAAAGUUAUUGUUUCUUUGUGGAAAAGAUAUAAAAGCAGCUUGCUUUGCCAAUCUUGGAGAGCAUUAGUUUUACGAUCUCCCAUACGUAUGUAUUAAAUUGGCUUUUCUCCUGUUAAUCUGGUCUUUUGUCAAUUUUAUUAUUAGUCCAGCCACAAGAACUCGAGAGGUGGGGGAGAAUUUCCACCUCCCUGACACAGUAUAAUCACACAGAAGACUUUGAGUCUAUAGGUUCUUGACCAUGCAUAACGAGAUGACUAACCAUACUGCAGAUAAAGUGGCCAUGCCCCAGAAUUAAAUUGCAAGAAAGUACAACAGUAUCAUCAUAGCUACUUUAUAGGUAAAGAAACUGAGGCAUAAGGAAGUCCAGCUGACUUAUCAAGAACACAGUGAUUGGGAUUAAACCCAACAAACUAGUGAAUUAACUAAACUCUAUAACUC
RNAcentral lists this long non-coding RNA (6196 nucleotides) under Equus caballus (horse). Its description in RNAcentral is "lncRNA (ENSECAG00000055490.1)". The record is from RNAcentral. Lineage: Eukaryota; Metazoa; Chordata; Mammalia; Perissodactyla; Equidae.